CUAACAACUCCCUGCCACGAGCAUCGUCUGAGCGGGAGCCCCAAACGGUGCUGUGAGAGUUAAAAUCCCCAACUAGAAUAAAAGGUGCCGGAAGCUGAUCUACGAUUUUACCAAUCUCUUGGACAUCAUAAGUAUUAUUGGGAACGUAAAUAUUACACAGUGUAAGAGAACUGCUAAUUUCAAGUUGUACCGCUACAGCUUGAUAAGGCGUAUCUAGUUUAACCCGUUUAUAAGGUAUGCCUUGUCGGAUGAGGAAAGCCACCCCUCCACAGGCUCUUGCUGGUACCAGGUGCGUUUCUUGAAGAGCAAUACACCAAGGAUUAUGCUUUUGAAUUAGCAGUUUCAGCUCAUUUAAAUUGUUGGAGAGUCCUCGACAGUUCCAUUGGACAAUUUUUGUUGUAUCCAUUAAAUGACAAUCACAAUUGAAUAAGCAACAUAUAAAUAUAAAUAACAAUAAAAUAACGGUGUAUAUGAGGACAUUCACAAUAAAUAUAUGUACACUUUUACAUAAACAAAUGAUAGACAAACAAA
Molecule: long non-coding RNA, 531 nt
Organism: Photinus pyralis (common eastern firefly)
Lineage: Eukaryota; Metazoa; Arthropoda; Insecta; Coleoptera; Lampyridae
Exons: 2
Source: RefSeq, a predicted model, not a curated record